GCGGAGGAAAAGAAACCAACAGGGAUUGCCUCAGUAACGGCGAGUGAAGCGGCAACAGCUCAAAUUUGAAAUCUGGUCCCCUCUGGGGGCCCGAGUUGUAAUUUGAAGAGGAUGCUUUUGGCGAGGCGCCGUCCGAGUUCCCUGGAACGGGACGCCGCAGAGGGUGAGAGCCCCGUACGGUCGGACGCCGAGCCUCUGUAAAGCUCCUUCGACGAGUCGAGUAGUUUGGGAAUGCUGCUCAAAAUGGGAGGUAAACCCCUUCUAAAGCUAAAUACCGGCCAGAGACCGAUAGCGCACAAGUAGAGUGAUCGAAAGAUGAAAAGCACUUUGAAAAGAGAGUUAAAAAGCACGUGAAAUUGUUAAAAGGGAAGCGCUUGCGACCAGACUUGCGCCCGUCGGAUCAACCGUCGCUUGCGGCGGCGCACUCCGGCGGGCUCAGGCCAGCAUCAGUUCGCUCGGGGGGAGAAAGGCGGCGGGAAUGUAGCUCCUCGGAGUGUUAUAGCCCGCCGUGUAAUACCCUCGGGGGACUGAGGACCGCGCGUAGCAAG
RNAcentral lists this ribosomal RNA (548 nucleotides) under Microascus niger. Its description in RNAcentral is "eukaryotic LSU rRNA". It matches the Rfam family "Eukaryotic large subunit ribosomal RNA", at positions 50 to 603 of the family's 3401-position model. Lineage: Eukaryota; Fungi; Ascomycota; Sordariomycetes; Microascales; Microascaceae. The record is from RNAcentral.